Amphibalanus amphitrite is the source of this 771-nucleotide long non-coding RNA. RefSeq lists it as uncharacterized. The record is from RefSeq and is a predicted model, not a curated record. Lineage: Eukaryota; Metazoa; Arthropoda; Thecostraca; Balanomorpha; Balanidae. The transcript is spliced from 3 exons.
CAAAAGUAAAAGCAUGGAUUAGAGAUAACUGGAUGGGGCACUCCGGCGACUUUAGCGUCACACGGCCGUUAUGCGCAUGCGCGAGGAACGUACACGACCGCGACCUUGGCGCCUGUUGUAAACUCAAUGGCGGAGUGCUUUGCGGCGAUCGUUAUUUUGCUUUUACGUGUGAUUACGUGUGUUUAAAGAAGAAGUUGGGGCAGCAUAUUUUAUAUUGAAAGACCUUAACUACAAGUUACAACUCUAUAAUGACUUAUAAUGCUGCAUAUCAAAUUUGACCAGCUGCCAGCCAUUGGUUCUGGAUCAGCCUGUUUAUGAGCACUGGACUGGAAGGAUGGGGAUUGGGGCUGGGGCAAGAUCAUGAUGGCAAUGCUUGUGUGGUGUCUUGAGUGUUAAGCAUGUAUGUGUAUUGGCCUGCUAGGAUGUUUGAUAUUGAAAGUAGUUUUGUGUAUCAAUUAUGUUUAUAAAGACCAAUGGACACCUGAAUCCUGAUGCGCUAAGGCGUGGAGAUCUACUGGUCAUGUUUGUAUCGAUACGUCUCCACUUCCCUACUUGCCACUUGUUCCAUCAAUGGCCUCCGUUACUGGAGGGCAGUGGGCACUGAUCAGUGUUUUUUUAGAUGUCUGUGAACUUGUCCGUCCUUGGGAGUUGUUUCUGAUGGGCUGUUAUUUUGAAGAAAGCUAAUGCUGAGCGCUGUAGAUCGGUGAGUUUUUGUUGCAAAUAGAAUCGUCUCAUUCAGCAUUCUGUUUGCUCAUGGCAUUUGCUAACUUA